This 550-nucleotide ribosomal RNA is filed under the name uncultured bacterium. RNAcentral describes it as "bacterial SSU rRNA". It matches the Rfam family "Bacterial small subunit ribosomal RNA", at positions 355 to 896 of the family's 1533-position model. The record is from RNAcentral.
UAGGGAAUCUUCGGCAAUGGACGGAAGUCUGACCGAGCAACGCCGCGUGAGUGAAGAAGGUUUUCGGAUCGUAAAGCUCUGUUGUAAGAGAAGAACGAGUGUGAGAGUGGAAAGUUCACACUGUGACGGUAUCUUACCAGAAAGGGACGGCUAACUACGUGCCAGCAGCCGCGGUAAUACGUAGGUCCCGAGCGUUGUCCGGAUUUAUUGGGCGUAAAGCGAGCGCAGGCGGUUAGAUAAGUCUGAAGUUAAAGGCUGUGGCUUAACCAUAGUACGCUUUGGAAACUGUUUAACUUGAGUGCAAGAGGGGAGAGUGGAAUUCCAUGUGUAGCGGUGAAAUGCGUAGAUAUAUGGAGGAACACCGGUGGCGAAAGCGGCUCUCUGGCUUGUAACCGACGCUGAGGCUCGAAAGCGUGGGGAGCAAACAGGAUUAGAUACCCUGGUAGUCCACGCCGUAAACGAUGAGUGCUAGGUGUUAGACCCUUUCCGGGGUUGAGUGCCGCAGCUAACGCAUUAAGCACUCCGCCUGGGGAGUACGACCGCAAGGUUG